GACCAUUGCAUUCAGAAAAGAUCAACUUAGAAUUUGAUACACAGCACUUGAAUACCGGCAUUUAUACAUGCAAUAUUUGACUGGGCUAUUAAUGUUUGAACGUUGAACUACUGUUUUUGAAAAAGCCAAAAAUUUGCACAAAAAAUAACAUUAUAAUUACUGAUGUAUAGCCUAGUAUACUUGUUAAAUAAUAAAUAUUUUUAUUUUGGUAGCAUCUCGCUCAAUAUUGCAUGUAAAUUCAAGUGUUAUUGAUCAAAAUCUAAGUUAGUCCUUUCUGAAUGCAAUGAUCUUUAUUUUAUUGCGAUAGCUUUUAUAGCUUUUACGUUACAUGAAAUCAAACAGUGUCCAGUUUUUUUUUUUGGACACCCGAUAGAACAAUAGUAACUAGGCCUGUUGGUUACCUAAAUAUGUGAAUUGGGUGGCAACGAUGUAAAUAAUACAAGACAAUUCUGUUUAUGGAAAUGAGUAUUUCAGUGGCCGUGUGAAUUGAAAAAAUAAUUAACAAUUAUUCGCCGAAGGCGAGGUGAUUAUCGGGGAAUAUUCGCCGAGACGAAGUCGAGGUGAAUAUUCCCCGAUAAUCACCAAGCCUGAGGCGAAUAAUUGUUUUAGUAUUUUUACACAAGUCUUUUGUGUUUUUUGGGACUGGAUUUAUUUUAAUUCGCUUAUUCUUUAUCAGUAACUUCCAUGCAAAACGGCUAGCCGCCAUUUUGAAAAUUUUGGUUCUGUUAUAAUAUUCACCAAUAGGUGAACAUAACAGCUUAAUGAAUACGUCAAAUUUGUCCAACCAGCUUGUGGGAU
Molecule: non-coding RNA, 798 nt
Organism: Paramuricea clavata
Lineage: Eukaryota; Metazoa; Cnidaria; Anthozoa; Malacalcyonacea; Plexauridae
Source: the annotation of a GenBank genome assembly